Molecule: ribosomal RNA, 492 nt
Filed under: uncultured bacterium
Lineage: Bacteria
Description: partial 16S ribosomal RNA
Rfam family: Bacterial small subunit ribosomal RNA
Source: RNAcentral
AUUGAACGCUGGCGGCAUGCUUUACACAUGCAAGUCGAACGGUAACAGGCCUUCGGGUGCUGACGAGUGGCGAACGGGUGAGUAAUGCAUCGGAACGUGCCCAGAGGUGGGGGAUAACGCAGCGAAAGCUGUGCUAAUACCGCAUGUGAUCUGAGGAUGAAAGCGGGGGACCAAGCAGCAAUGUUUGGCCUCGCGCCUCUGGAUCGGCCGAUGUCAGAUUAGGUAGUUGGUGGGGUAAAGGCCUACCAAGCCGACGAUCUGUAGCUGGUCUGAGAGGACGACCAGCCACACUGGGACUGAGACACGGCCCAGACUCCUACGGGAGGCAGCAGUGGGGAAUUUUGGACAAUGGGCGCAAGCCUGAUCCAGCAAUGCCGCGUGCGGGAAGAAGGCCUUCGGGUUGUAAACCGCUUUUGUACGGAACGAAAAGGCUCUGGCUAAUACCUGGGGCUGAUGACGGUACCGUAAGAAUAAGCACCGGCUAACUACGUG